UACGUAGGGGGCAAGCGUUGUCCGGAAUCAUUGGGCGUAAAGAGCGCGUAGGCGGUCCGGUAAGUCCGCUCUGAAAGUCCGGGGCUCAACCCCGGGAGGCGGGCGGAUACUGUCGGGCUAGAGUCCGGAAGAGGCGAGUGGAAUUCCUGGUGUAGCGGUGAAAUGCGCAGAUAUCAGGAGGAACACCAAUGGCGAAGGCAGCUCGCUGGGACGGUACUGACGCUGAGGCGCGAAAGCGUGGGGAGCAAACAGG
This 253-nucleotide ribosomal RNA is filed under the name uncultured bacterium. Its description in RNAcentral is "partial 16S ribosomal RNA". It matches the Rfam family "Bacterial small subunit ribosomal RNA", at positions 524 to 776 of the family's 1533-position model. The record is from RNAcentral.